CUUGGUCAUUUAGAGGAAGUAAAAGUUGUAACAAGGUUUCCGUAGGUGAACCUGCGGAAGGAUCAUUAACAAAUCCAAUAAUUGCGAGAGAACACUUGUUCUUUUUGCAAAUAUUAAUCCGCUGGUUGCUCUUAGUAGCAGCUGGCUGUGAUAUAAAUGCGUGUUAUGUUGACAGUGUGUGUAUAAAUUAAUAUUGACAACUUUUAACAAUGGAUCUCUAGGCUCUUGCAACGAUGAAGAACGCAGCAAAAUGCGAAACGUGAUGCGAUUUGCACGAAUCUGUGAGUCAUCUAAUCUUUGAACGCGAAUGGCACUGCUAUGUAAGUAGCAGUAUGUCUGUUUGAGAAUCGCAAAACACGAUCAACUCUAGUUAAGAGUUGGGAUUGACCUCAUAUGCUUUUAGCGUAUCUGGUUUGAAUGUAUUAAGUUGAUGGGCUUCCCAGCAUUGCUCAAUGUGUGCUAGCGAGACAGUCGUCCCGAUCUCACAUUACGGCUUUGUUGCAAGGUUCUAUUCACAACUUUUUAUUUAUUUUAUCAAGUACGAUCUCAAAUCAGGCAAGAUUACCCGCUGAACUUAAGCAUAUCAAUAAGCGGAGGA
Molecule: ribosomal RNA, 598 nt
Filed under: uncultured fungus
Lineage: Eukaryota; Fungi
Description: eukaryotic LSU rRNA
Rfam family: 5.8S ribosomal RNA (bases 199-350)
Source: RNAcentral